Molecule: ribosomal RNA, 254 nt
Filed under: uncultured bacterium
Lineage: Bacteria
Description: partial 16S ribosomal RNA
Rfam family: Bacterial small subunit ribosomal RNA
Source: RNAcentral
UACGAAGGGGGCUAGCGUUGCUCGGAAUCACUGGGCGUAAAGCGCACGUAGGCGGAUCUUUAAGUCAGGGGUGAAAUCCUGGAGCUCAACUCCAGAACUGCCUUUGAUACUGGGGAUCUCGAGUCCGGGAGAGGUGAGUGGAACUCCGAGUGUAGAGGUGAAAUUCGUAGAUAUUCGGAAGAACACCAGUGGCGAAGGCGGCUCACUGGCCCGUUACCGACGCUCAGGCGCGACAGCGUGGGGGAGCAAACAGG